CUUGGGAGCAAAUUCACUUGGAGGACAAAAUAAGAGAAACCACUGUAUACAAGUUAUUACAGUUUUUUAAGAUAUCUUCUCAUUAGAUGAAUAUUCAAGUUAUCUUUAAUUGUGGGUCCUCCAGCUUUGUAAUUUUGUUCAGAAUUGUCUUAACCAUCUAGAAAAAGGAUUUAACUAUGCUACUACACUAGUCACAUGGAGGUUAAAAGGACAAGGUCAUAAAGAGAACAAAGUUCCUAUUUCUUUCUUCCAUGCAGUGUUGUAGCAGGGAAGUGGACUCAGUGGACCGUGACUCGGAGCUCCAGACGUGACUCAGCAGUCACAGAGAGUGAUGCAUGAGGAAAGCAGCCACUAUGAACCUUCACAAACUUAGAGGAGAAUUCCAAGAGUAUCUGCCAAGUCAGUAAGAAAACCAAAUCUUCUGAUUUUCCCCAGAGAUGAGUAAUUGGACUCAGAGAAGAAAAGUAACAUUGGUGACAUGUGUAACCAGGAUUCACUCACACCCCCGCCUGUCAUCUCCAAAAGGUAGAUGGCCAAAACUUGUUUUAUGCUUCAAUUUGAUAAGAUUAGUUUCUAAGAGAAAAAGAACUUUGCUGUACUUUUUUACUGUGAAAGAAUGAGUUGAGGGAUAAGCUAUCACACAUAACUCUGUUUUCUCCAAGUUGCAGGAGGUUGAGGGGGAGAAUCCAGAGGCUGUGGAUGACAGUUGCAACGCAGUCAAAGUGAUCAUUCAAUUCUGACACCAUACAAAACUAACACUGUGAUCUCAGGAGUAUACCCUUUCUUCCCUUGUCCAUUUAUAUCAGUCAGGGUCUGGUCAGAAAAAAAGAAGCCACUCUAAGUAUAUAGAGUAAGAAAUGGUUUAAUAUAGGAAUUAAAGGCUGGGCAAGUAAAGCUCAGGAAGACCCCUUUUAGGAAACUUUAAAGUACAGUUCUUGUUCUAUAACCAAUUGUUUCAGUUGCUGGGAGCACUGACUUGGUGAUUCUGAGGAGGAUACCCAAAAGCAGUGAGAAAAUUCCACACUGCUUCUACUCUCCCAGUAGCUGCUAUGCAGAACAAUGGCUUCCCCUUCCCUUCUACCUUCCAAAUCUCAUGCAAUUUCUUCUUAUUGGUGGAAUCCAUUUGGGAUCCUGUUUGCAAUGGAGGAUAGAAAUUGUAAUUUCUAGACUUCAUGCUCCUGGGGACAGGGAAAAGUAUAGACUAACAGACAUGAUACUGAGUACUAACAAAUUAUAUGUGGUACACUGUGUCUAUUUGUUCACCAUUAUUGGUAAAAACUCACAAAUAUAUGUUGAUUGAAUUAAUGGAUGCAGAAGGGUCCCAGUCCUGGAACAGGAUUUCUUGCUGGGAAUCAAGAUUCCUCUGCACCGUCAUUCAGUGAUGCCAUGUGCUCCAGGCCCUGAUGGCACUCUGAAGCCCUUAAUGGCCUGCUGCUAACUUGACUGUAGAAGAAGCAGAGGUGUGUUCCCCACCUCUCACUGAGGUGGGCCAUGUCACUGCCUCAGGUGCUGCCGAUGUACAUGUAAACCCAACCACAUCCCUCUGCUGUUUCAAAUAACACUUCGGUCGCUUUCUAUUGACUUUAGAAUAAAAUCUGAACUUUUUUCCAUGA
Long non-coding RNA from Cebus imitator (Panamanian white-faced capuchin), 1613 nucleotides. RefSeq lists it as uncharacterized. The transcript has 3 exons. NCBI's taxonomy places the organism in Eukaryota, Metazoa, Chordata, Mammalia, Primates, Cebidae. The record is from RefSeq and is a predicted model, not a curated record.